Long non-coding RNA from Solanum verrucosum, 157 nucleotides. RefSeq lists it as uncharacterized. Lineage: Eukaryota; Viridiplantae; Streptophyta; Magnoliopsida; Solanales; Solanaceae. The record is from RefSeq and is a predicted model, not a curated record. The transcript has 3 exons.
AGUUGUUGAUUGGGCACUUUGAUUUGGAUCCAAACCGAGUCUUUGAUAUUGUUUUGGAGUGUUUUGAACGUCAGCCUGGUAAAUAGUAUAUUUUUGGACUUGAUUCCCAUAUUUCCCAAGUCCCAUGCCUCCCAGAUUCUGGGGUUUAAGUUUCAAU